UAUUAAAAGCCUAUUUUUUUUUUUGAUCUAUUGAUUUAGAUGGAAAAUUAUUUAGGCAACGGCCAGACAACCGUAGAGAUGGUUUCCACAGAUGAACAGUUUUUUACCCAUCUGUUUGUCUACUAUUAUCCAUCUCACAUUU
Erigeron canadensis is the source of this 142-nucleotide small nucleolar RNA. RefSeq annotates it as small nucleolar RNA snoR143. The record is from RefSeq and is a predicted model, not a curated record. The transcript has a single exon. Lineage: Eukaryota; Viridiplantae; Streptophyta; Magnoliopsida; Asterales; Asteraceae.